UACGAAGGGGGCUAGCGUUGUUCGGAUUUACUGGGCGUAAAGCGCGCGUAGGCGGGUCACUAAGUCAGGGGUGAAAUCCCGAGGCUUAACCUCGGAACUGCCUUUGAUACUGGUGACCUGGAGAUCGGGAGAGGUUGGUGGAAUUCCGAGUGUAGAGGUGAAAUGCGUAGAUAUCGGGAGGAACACCAGUGGCGAAGGCGACUACCUGGCCUGUUCUUGACGCUGAGGCGCGAAAGCUAGGGGAGCAAACGGG
RNAcentral lists this ribosomal RNA (253 nucleotides) under uncultured bacterium. Its description in RNAcentral is "partial 16S ribosomal RNA". It matches the Rfam family "Bacterial small subunit ribosomal RNA", at positions 524 to 776 of the family's 1533-position model. The record is from RNAcentral.